CUUUGAUGUUGGGGAGAGGACCUUCCAACUGAUUGUAGGAUAUAUCAACAACUGUCAGGCUUAUCAGAUCAUCAAACGUGUGUGGGAUGGUGCCAGAGAGCCCGUUAUGGGAGAGAUUCAACGUUUCCAGGUACUGUAAUUCUCCAAGUAGCGGUGGUAUCUCUCCUAUUAGCAUAUUUUGACUAAGAUCGAGACUUUCAAGAUGAUGCAACUUUCCAAUUUCAUCGGGAAUGCUAUCCACAAAUCUAUUCUCGCUCAAGUUGAAGGACCUUAAUUUCCAGAAGUUUCCCAGUUGUUUGGGAAUUGAACCGCUUAUGUUGUUUGAUGCCAAGUCAAGAAUUUCAAGAUUGGAUAAGUUUCCCAAUUCCAAAGGAAUACUACCUGAAAGACUGUUGUUUCCUAAUAACAAUUUGAACAAUAAUGGCAACAUACCCAACUCUUUCAGGAUCUUCCCACUUAGAUGAUUGGCGGAGAGAUCAAGCUGUCGCAGCUGAGUUGCUUUCCCAAGUUGAGGCGGUAUAGCACCAGAAAUAUUGUUGUUGGAGAUGUUCAGGUUUGUGAGCAUGUGGCACUGCCCCCAUUUCUCAGAAAGCUCACCAUAAAAAUUGUUGCUGCUUAGAUCAAUAUAAUUUAGAGUUGGGUACACACCAAAACUUUCGGCUAUGUCCCCUGUCAAUUGAUUUCUUUCAAGCCUAACUCUGAAUAAGCUAGUGCAAUUUUUCAAGCCUUUUGGAAUAGGACCAGUGAAAUGAUUUCCAGAGGCUGUAAAGUUUUCAAGAACACUACCAAGGCAUAUCUCUUGUGGUAGUUGGCCAAUGAAGUUAUUCUCAACUAACUGUAAAGAUUUCAAAUGAGUGAUAUUAUUCAUUUCAAGAGGAAUCGCACCACUAAGCUUGUUGUGAUCAAGGAACAAAAAGGUUAAGCUGGACAAGUUUCCUAUGGAUGGAGGGAUUGGACCACUGAGACUAUUAGCUGCCAAGUCAAGAUCAUAAAGUGAUGUCAACAAUCCAAUUUCUUGAGGGAUGGAACCAGAAAGCUUGUUCUCAAAAAGAUAUAAAGUGGUUAAAUUUCUCAAGUUUCCAAUGGAUGGAGGGAUCGAACCAGUGAGACUAUUAGUUUCCAACUCAAGAUCUAUAAGUGAUGUCAACAAUCCAAUUUCUUGAGGAAUAGAACCAGAUAGUUUGUUUGUAUGAAGGUACAAAGUCGUUAAGUUCCUCAAGUUACCUAUCGAAGGAGGGAUUGGACCGAUGAGAUUGUUAAAUGACAAUUGAAGAUCAUUAAGAGAUCUUAACAAUCCAAUUUCUUGAGGGAUGAAACCAGAAAGCUCGUUCUCAAAAAGAUAUAAAGUGGUUAAAUUUCUCAAGUUUCCAAUGGAUGGAGGGAUCGGACCAGUGAGACUAUUAGUUGCCAACUCAAGAUCAUUAAGUGAUGUCAACAAUCCAAUUUCUUGAGGAAUAGAAUCGGAUAGUUUGUUUGUAUGAAGGUAUAAAGUGGUUAAGUUCCUCAAGUUACCUAUGGAAGGAGGGAUUGGACCAGUGAGAUUGUUAGUUGACAAUUGAAGAUCAUUAAGAGAUUUUAACAAUCCAAUUUCUUGGGGGAUGGAACCAGAAAGCUUAUUCUUGAAAAGAUGCAAAGUGGUUAAGUUCCUUAGGUUUCCUAUGGAAGGAGGGAUUGGACCAGUGAGAUUGUUAGUUGACAAUUCAAGAUCAUUAAGAGAUCUUAACAAUCCAAUUUCUUGAGGGAUGAAACCAGAAAGCUCGUUCUCAAAAAGAUAUAGAGUGGUUAAGUUUCUCAAGUUUCCUAUGGAUGGAGGGAUUGAACCAGUGAGACUAUUAGUUGCCAACUCAAGAUCAUUAAGUGAUGUCAACAAUCCAAUUUCUUGAGGAAUAGAACCAGAUAGUUUGUUAGUAUGAAGGUAUAAAGUGGUUAAGUUCCUCAAGUUACCUAUGGAAUGAGGGAUUGGACCAAUGAGAUUGUUAGUUGACAAUUGAAGAUCAUUAAGAGAUCUUAACAAUCCAAUUUCUUGGGGAAUGAAACCAGAAAGCUUGUUCUUGAAAAGAUGCAAAGUGGUUAAGUUCCUCAAGUUUCCUAUGGAAUGAGGGAUUGGACCUGUGAGAUUGUUAGUUGACAAUUGAAGAUCAUUAAGAGAUCUUAACAAUCCAAUUUCUUGAGGAAUGGAACCAGAAAGCUUGUUCUCAAAAAGAUACAAAGUGGUUAAGUUCCUCAGGUUUCCUAUGGAAGGAGGAAUUGGACCAAUGAGAUUGCUAGUUGACAAUUGAAGAUCAUUAAGAGAUCUUAACAAUCCAAUUUCUUGAGGAAUGGAACCAGAAAGCUUGUUCUCAAAAAAAUGCAAAGUGGUUAAGUUCCUCAAGUUUCCUAUGGAAUGAGGGAUUGGACCAAUAAGAUUGUUAGUUGACAAUUGAAGAUCAUUAAGAGAUCUUAACAAUCCAAUUUCUUGAGGGAUGGAACCAGAAAGCUCAUUCUCAAAAACAUACAAAGUAGUUAAGUUUCUUAAAUUACCUAUGGAAGGAGGAAUUGGGCCUCUAAAAUUAUUAGAAGACAAUGCUAGAACACUAAGAGAUGUUAGAAAUCCAAGUUGGGGAGAUAUUACACCAGUGAAAUGAUUGAAAGCAAAGUUAAGAUUUGUGAUUCGUUUGGAAAGAUUACCAAUGUUGAUUGGAAUGGUUCCAUAAAGGGAGUUGUUAUAAAGAUUAAGAGUGAGAAGGUUAGGGAGUGAUGAGAAAUUGAGAUUGUGGAGUGUACCUCUCAAACCGCAAUUGUCAAGUUCUAAAUUGGAGACACUUCCUGACUUGUGACAAGUUAAUCCAAACCAAUGAUAGCAAGAAUUGCGUCCAGACCAAGAAGAGAGGAAAGAUUGGGUUUGAUUAUCAAGACUGGCUUUCCAUGUUAGAAGAGCGAGUCUUUCUUGAUCUUUUUCAACUUUUGAAAGAGAAGUGGUAGGUGUAGAGGCAGAUAUAGAAGUGACAUGGAAUGAUGAUAUUGAGUAUAGAAGGACAAGGAGAAAUAUGAAGUAGUAAGGAGUGAUAAAGAGUCGAGAGAGUAAGGAGUAGGAUGAAGAAUAUUCAAAGGCCAUUGUUGAAUUGGUAGAAAUGAAGUUAUUAAGAGGUUUACAUGGAGGGAAGGAUGAAGAUGAAACACUUAUUUAUAGACUUAAAUGUGAUACAUCCAACAUUUCCAUUAGUUGGUGUUGACAUCUAACCACCUCUUUCAUCUACAAAUAAUGGAAUUAAAAAGGAUUAUAUACAUGAGCUCAAUUCCACACAUAUUUUAUUUCAUUUUAUCGAAAUGCUCUGAAUUUUUCAAUUAAAAUUUACACCUACAAUUACAUAUGAAAUAAUUAAAAAUAUUUCUUUUCCACUCUAUGCACUUUUAAAUAUAACUUGUUUAAAAUUAAUAAUUACAAUUCAUUUUAAGAAGUAAGGACCAAAUAUGCCCACGUCAACAACCUAGUUGAUACAGGAAGUUCACUUUAACCAACAUUACUCCUUGUUUGGAUUGAAUUCUUUUAACUAUUUUGCCCUGAGAGAAAUAAACUUUUUUAACUCUAUUAGUUCUUUCAUAAUUUUUAUCCUUACAAUAUGAACUAUCUUAUUUCUCUUAAUAUUUUAUAAAUCAUUUAUGUUAUAUUUCAAAACCAAAUUAGUUGUCAUUUCUUGUACUUCUUUCCUAGACAAAUGCAUAAUUUGUGGUUGAUGUUUAUCAUUUUUAUUAAAGGUGUUCACAAUUUGUAAGUGAGACCCAUCAUCUAUGAAAAAUAUAGACAUGCUUUUUUUUCAUUUGGAAGUCUUAAGGAACUAGUAUUUGAACCACAACAAGGACUAAGGACUAACAAAUUUUCACUUUGUUUUUCAUCCAAAUAAGACACACAAUUGUUUUUGUAUUAUCUAUUCUAAGCCAAGGGGCUUUCAAGGCUUUAAAAUGCAUCUCUAAAGUUAAGAGGAGCCCAACAUAUAUAUCAUCAUGAGCUUUUUUCCCUAUUCAACGUGAGAUGUCACAAAAAUUGUUCAACAAGAUUAAUGCAUUUGUGAAGCUCAGAAGAAUCACAAAAAUCAAAGGAAAAUAUUUUGGGAAUUACAACAUAAAACAUGCAGGACCCAUGUACACAUGCAUUUUCCUUAUCAAACAGUUGUCUUGAAAAGCCAUUCUAAAGCCCACUUGGCUUCCCAUCACUAGUAAUGGACCAACAUCAUUCAAAUUCUCAAUGCUCUUGAAAGGCCAUAUGCACUUGAAGUAAAAAGAGAUUGAAUUUUUGUUAGAUAGUUUGUUUUUGCUAUUUGGGAACAUAUUUUUCUUUUCUUUUUUUUGUUCUUUUUUCUUUUUAAUAGAACGUUUACAUGGUAGCCUGCUCCAAUCCCCUUACGAAACUUUUGUUAUUAGGUUAGCCAUACACUUCACAUGUUUGUUUCUAGCGAUUCACAUGGUAUAAUCAAAUGAUACAAGUCUUGGAUAAGAAUCUACAAUGCACUAGAACACCCUUGUUGAUGAUCCUUUACUCCGAUAGUGUCUAGAGUUCCUCGAACAAUAUGAUAUCUCACAUUGGGUAAAUCCUUAACCCUUCCCCCUCUUACUAAGACUACAAAAUGUUCUUGUGAAUUAUGGCCAAUACCAGGUAUAUAAGUAGUGAUUUCAAAUCCAGAGGUUAAUCGUACUCUGGCAACUUUACGUAAGGCAGAGUUUGAUUUUUUUGGGGGUGAUAGUAGAAAAGUUGACAGAUAAGUCACCCUUACUAGAGUGUAAAAUCCUUUAUUUUUUGUUCAAAUUUUAGCUUUGCAAUUAGAGUCAAUACAUCUCGUAUUCAAUUCAAUCCUCAUAUUUUCUGGACUCCUAAAUUCUAAACCCUAUCUGGGUUUUCCAGUUUUGUGAAAAAUCACAUCAUAUGGACCUGACAGGAUGGGAUUUGAUUCAAUGUUAGAGACAAAAUUUUGGAAAAAUCUGCAAAACCCUCAACAGUUGUGGCCAUACCAUAGCUCAAGACCAAGAUGAGAAUUUACAAUCUAAUAAUGCUGAUGAAUGCUUCAUAGACUGCUCUACAAAACUAGAGUUUGUCAGAAGGCCUGUCCUUUGUUGAAAGACGUGAAGGUCGCAGGAAGAACCUAGGCCGAAAGUAAUCAGCAAAGGAUAAGAACACCAGGAUUAUUUCACAUUGAAACACUUUACUCCAACUACUCUGGUUAAACGAAUUCAUCCUAGAGUAAGCAUGUGAAGAUAGCAACCUUGUUAUAGACUUAAAUGUGAUACAUCCAACAUUCCCAUUAGUCGGUGUUGACAUCCAACUACAUCUUUGUCUACAACUAAUGGAAUUGAAAAAUUAUAUAGCUCAAUCCUGCACUUAUUUUAUUUUAUUUUAUCAAAGUGCUCUUGGAAUUGAAAAGGAUUAUAUAGCUCUUAAGUUUUAUUAACAUGAGUGCAAAUUAAUUUUAAUUUUGAAAAAGUUUUACUAAUUGGUGGAAAAUUCUUCCUCGAAUUAUAUGUGGAUAUGAAUUACUUGGAUAAAAUUUGGAGCUUUGUUGAUAUCAUGUUAGUGACUUAUUUUGUUGAGAUAUAUAGUUAUAAGACAAAUCUCAGCCAACUUUCUUUUUUUCUUAGAAAGACAAAGCUCAUUGCAAUGAAUAAUGGGAUCCAGAGAUGUAUAAAAGUGUGCAUUUUUACUUAAAAAAAAUGUGUUCCAUGACUAGCAUGUAUUUCAAAUUUAAGCUCAAACAAAAAGACCACUCAAUCCACUAAGAGCUCUUUAGAGAUGAAAACAACAUAAUAAUUGAAAACAAAAAUAAACUCAUUGAUAUGAAAAUAAAAAAUAUAUUUAUUUUGUUAUAAAAACUAUGAUAUCACAGAUUAAUUUGAAUGUGAAGUGAACUGGACUAUUGACUCUUUAAUUAAUAAAUCAAUUAAUUUUUAUAGUACUUUUUUUAUUAAAACAAUUCCUUAAUUGUGAAGUAAAUUUUACUUAUCUAUUCAUAUGUAUUUGAUAAAAUUAACCUUAAUGGGAUAGAAACAUCAUGCAAUUCAUUUUGUUUUUAUCAACAAUUCUUAUAAAGAGAUCACUUAAGGGAGAGAACUCACAUCAUCAAUGCUGAGUAGUUAUCACAAAGUGAUUAAAAUUUUUUUCCUAAAAAAAAAAUAUAUUUUUAUGAAAAUUGCUUUUAUUUAAAAUCAAUCAUAAUAUAAAUCAUGUUUUUAUUUUUUUUAUUAAGUUAAUAAGAUUUAAAAUUAAAAUAAAUUUUACAAAAUCAGUAAAUGUUUAUAUAUAUAAAAAAAUCAAAUGGCUCCACUCAUCCAUUAUUCAUGAUUGAUUGAACAAUGUAAAGAUGACAGUAUCUUCUAUGUAUAAUUUAAACACUCUCACCCUAGACUUUUAUACAUGAAUAGCUAUUAGAAAAUACAAAAUUUAAUGCAAAAAUUGGACUGAGGGAGUAACAUAACCUCAUCAAUGCUUGUAGUUGAUACAUAAAUAGAUUGAAGAGGAUACAACUACCAUCACAAAUAAUAAAUGAAAAAUAAUUAAUAUAACCAUAAUUUAGUUUUUCUUUUGUUUAAAUAAUCAACUAUUCUAGUUGGGGAAUGGAUCAUAUAUGGGGUCCAUGAAUUAAAUUAUUGUACAAAAUGUCUUACAAGAAAAAUGUUACUUAGCUUACGAUUUAUACAUUUGCUUUCAAUUAACUAAUGGUUCUAAUAUAUAAGUGUUCAUUUGGAUAAAGUUCUUAUUUUCCAGUUUUAAAAAUAAAAAAUAGUAAUAACUUCUAUUGAAAAUAUAAAAAAUCAUCUAACUCUUAAGACACAACUACCAUCACAAAUAAUAGACAAAAAUAAUUAAUAUAACCAUUGUGAGGUUGUUCUUUUGUUCAAAUAAUCAACUAUUUUAGUUGGGGAAUGGACCACACAUAUGGGGUCCAUGAAUUAAAUUAUUGUACAAAAUGUCUCCAAGAAAAAUGUUAUUUAGAUUAUUAUUUAAACAUUUGCUUUCAAUUAAUUAAUUGUAUUAAUAAUUGAGUGUCCAUUUGGAUGGAGUUCUUAUUUUCUAGUUUUAAAAAUAAAAAAUAGUAAUAACUUCUAUACAAAACAUAAAAAGUCUUCGAGUCUUAACACACAACUACCAUCACAAAUAAUAGACGAAAAACAAUUAAUAUAGUCAUUAUGAGGUUGUUCAUUUGUUCAAGCAAUCCACUAUUCUAGUUGGGGAAUGGACCACAUAUGUGGUCCAUGAAUUAAAUUAUUGUACAAAAUGUCUCACAAGAGAAAGGUUAUUUAGCUCACUAUUUAUAUAUUUGCUUUCAAUUAAUUAAUUUUUACUAAUAAUUAAGUGUCCAUUUGGAUGGAGUUUUUAUUUUUCUAGUUUUAAAAAUAAAAAACAGUUACAACUGCUAUAUAAAAGACAAAAAGUCUUCUAGUUUUAAGACACAACUACCAUCACAAAUAAUAGAUGAAAAACAAUCAAUAUAACCAUAAUGAGGUUGUUCUUUUGUUCAAAUAAUCAACUAUUCUAGUUGGGGAAUGGACCAUACAUGGGGUCCAUGAAUUAAAUUACUGUAUAAAACAUCUCACAAUAAAAAUGUCAUUUAGCUUACUAUUUAUACAUUUCCUUUCAAUUAAUUAAUUAUACUAAUAAUUAAGUGUCCUUUUGGAUGGAGUUAUUUUCUAGUUUUAAAAAUAAAAAUAGCAAUAACUUCUACAUGAAAUAUGAAAAGUCUUUGAGUCUUAUAUCCAAAAUGUAGUGCCUUUUAAACUUGAUUUGAAAAAAAAAAUAUUAAAAAAAAUUACUAUUUGGAAUUUUAAAUUUUUUGAAAAAUAUUUUUCAAAAUGUAAGGUAAGUCUAUAUUUUUUGUAUAUGAAUAUAUGUUUUUUAGAUAAAGUUUUCUUUUGUAAAAGAUAAAAAAUAGAAAAUAUAUCUAAAUGGAACAUAAAUGCUUACAUAAAAAUUAUCAAACAAUGAAAUGUUACUUAAAUCUGUAGUUAAAAAAUUAUAAUAGAGAACUCGUAAGCAAAAAAGUAUAUAUACUUAGUAAAGAGAAUUAAGACUAAUUAAUUGCAAAGAAAUUGUGACACAUUCAUGGGUAAAUCCAACACAUGUUUAGUGCAUGGCCCAAGUUUGUUAAAAUACUAUCAAAUAAUAAAGUUAUUAUGAACUCAAGAACUUCGGAUUACCAAAACCAACCUAAAUAAUUGGUCAUGCAUGACCUAUUUUAAAGUCUUUGCCAAUCCUGAAGUUAACUUGAAAAUUGUGUAAACAUGUUUCUUAGAAAUACACAUUUCAAACUCUCUCAAUCUUUCUUUACCAAAAACUCAAUACACCCUUUUUGUACCUCUCUUUACUCUUUGCUUAGUUUUUCCUUCUCUAUAAAAAUACUAAAUAAAGUCACAUAUUUAUGGAGUCCUAUUGGUUAACCCUAGACCAAUAGUUUCCCAAUCCUUUGUUAAGUUCAAAAGUAACUUACCAAAACAUACACACUAUAAAUAUUUACUCUCCAAAAAAUAAAUAUUAAAAUAAUUUGAGUCAAUGCACUCAACUGAAUCAUCGAUAACCAUAAUUUCUAGGGAUACAAAAUUGUUUAACAAGAUUAAUGCAUUUGUGAGGCUUAGAUGAAUCACAAAAAUUAGAGGAAAAUCUUUUGGGCAUUACCACAUAAAAGAUGUAGGACCACAUAUGCAUUUUCCUUAUAAAACAAUUGUCUUGACAAGCCACUUUAAAGCCCACUUGGGCUUGCCAUCACCAUUGAUGGACCUACAUCAUUACAUCAUUCAAAUUCUCGAUGCUCUUAAAGGUGGUAUCCACUUGAAGGUAAAAGGAUUCCAAUUUUUGUUAGAUUGUUUGUCUUUUCUAUCUGGAAACUAUUUUUCUUUUCUUUCUUUUUUAUAUCACAUUUACUCUCCUAGAAUGUAAAAUUCUCUGUUCUCUGUUCAGAUAUCAGCUUUCCAAUUGGAAUUAAUACAUCUAGUAUUCAAUUCAAUCCUCAUCCUUUUCUGGCCUCCUAAAUUCUAAACUUUGUCUAGGUUUUCCAGUUUUAAGAAAAAAUACAUCAUGAGGACCCAACAUGAUGGGAUUAGAUUCAAUGUUAAAGACAAAAUUUUCAAAUAAUCUGCAAAACCCCUCAACAUUUGUGGCUAUAGUUCACGACCAAGGUGGGAAUUAACAAUCUAAUAAUGCGGAUGAAUGCUUCAUUGACAGCUCUACCAGACUAGACUUCGACGGAAUGCAUGAUAACAAAUUUACAUGGAGAAGUGAGGACCCUUGGCUAGUUUCACCCCCAUGACCAUGGCCCAGCAGCCCAGCAGCUCAUUCAAUGUAAUCAUGGAAAACGCUUUUGACAAUGGUGGCCAUUGUGUUGAGAGUGCUCUGUCAAUUUGUUGCAUAGUUGGCCGAGAUUGGGGAUUAACAUGCAAGCAUGCAAAUGCUAAUUUGACUGCAAGUGCUACUUCCUUAGCCACUUAAUUCACAGGAGGUGGGAGCCGCUGGUCCAUCACAUCAUUCAACAGGCAAUGGUCCACAGUUGAUGGUGAUGAGGAUGAUGAGGACGCUGAUGAUAACAGGGAUAAGAUGAGUUCUUCAGGGUGCUUUCCCAUAAUUACUUCCAAUGUUACCACUCUGAAGCUAUGAACAUCGGUUUUAUUAUCCACCUUCAUCUUGUAAGCAAGUUUUGCAAAGAAGAUUAGCUCAUGCUCUUCUCUACUAAGCAAUUGUGAAAGUUACAUAUGAUGUAUAGAGGUCGUUUAGAGAUAAGCAAGGCACUAAGUAAAAUGUACCUGGAGCAGUUUAACCAAAAGUUCCUGCCAUUGAAGUCCAAUUAGACGAGUCUGACUUUAAAAACCUAGUCGUGCUGAAGUCAGAUACAUGAGCUUCAUAUUCUGAAUCUAACAACACAUUGUUGCUCGAUAUGUCUUGAUGAAUUAUGGGAGGUGAACAAUCAUGGUGCAUAUAGGAUAAAGCUUUAGCCACGCCUUUAACAACAUUUAGCCUCACCAUCCAAUCUAAUUUUUCUGCUUCUUCGUCAUUGCUAAGAAUGUUUCUCAGGCUCCCCUUUUCCAUAAACUCAUAAACCAAAAAUGAGUUCUCUACAAAUGAACUGAAGCCAUAAAACUCGAUGAUAUUGCGAUGCCUUAUAUGUGUUAAAGUAUGAAUCUCACUUUUGAAAGCUUUCAAAUCAGCCAUAUCUCCAUCUUCUGAUGAGUGAAGUUUUUUCACAGCAACAACCCGACCUAUUGGCAUCUCAGUCUUGUAAAGAGUGCCAUAUCUUCCAGUGUCAAUACACUGUUUCGAACUGAAAUUGUCAAUGCCCUGUAUGAUGUGCUCAUACAACAAUUCCCCAUCAUGGUCCCAUAUUGCAAAUAGAUCUUCAACAUCUGCUUCUGGAGACUUGGUUUUUCUCUUCCUCAACUUUUGGGAAAAAAAUAAAAUAAAUGUCAAUAAUAAAAGCAAAUAAGAACAAUAGAAUGCUCACAAUGAGGAGUAUUAUGAUCAGAACAGGAAACUUGUUGGCCUUGUUUCUACUAGCACUGCAUGGCUUGAGAUGAGUGACAUUAUUACCACACAGACCUUUAUUAUUUUUGAAUGCCUCAAAUGGAGGAAAGGCUUCGAUGUUGGGGAGAGGACCUUCCAAUUAAUUGUAGGAUAUAUCAGCAACUGUCAGGCUUAUCAACUCGUCAAAUGUGUGUGGGAUGGUGCCAGAGAGCCUGUUAUGGGAGAGAUUCAACAUUUCCAGGUACUGUAAUUCUCUAAUCAGCAGUGGUAUCUCUCCUGUAAACAUAUUUUGACUAAGAUUGAGACUUUCAAGAUGAUGCAUCUUUCCAAUUUCAUCAGGAAUGCUAUCCACAAAUCUAUUCUCGCUCAAGUUCAAGGAUAAAAAUUUCCAGAAGUUUCUUAGUUUUUUGGGACUUCAACCGCUUAAGUUGUUUGGUGCCAAGUCAAGAAUUUCAAGAUUGGAUAAGUUUCCCAAUUCCAAAGGAAUACUUCUUGAAAGAUUGUUGUUGCCUAGCAACAAUUUGAAUAAUAAGGGCAAUAUACCAAAUUCUUUGGGUAUCUUCCCAAUCAGAUGAUUUGUGGAGAGAUCAAGUUGUUGCAGUUGAGGUGGUAUAGCACCAGAAAUAUUAUUGUUGGAGAUGUUCAGGUUUGUGAGCAUGUGGCACUGCCCCCAUUUCUUAAAAAGCUCACCAUAAAAAUUGUUACUGCUUAGAUCAAUAUAAUUUAGGUGUGUGUAGACACCAAAACUUUCAUCUAUGUCUCCCAUGAGUUGGUUUCUUUCAAGCUUAACCCUAAAUAAGCUUGUGCAAUUUUUCAAGUUCUUUAGAAUAGGACCAGUGAAAUGGUUUCCUAAGGCAGCAAAUUAUUCAAGAACACUACCAAGACAGAUCUCUUGUAUAAGUUGGCCAAUGCAGUUAUUCUCAGCUAACAUCAAAGAUUUCAAAUGAGUGAUAUUAUUCAUUUAUGGAGAAAUGCACCACUGAGUCUAUUGUAAUGAAGGGCCUAAAAGGUUAAGCCCGACAAUUUCUUAUGGAAGCUGGUAUUGAACCACUAAGAUUGUUAAAUGACAAAUUAAGAUCAAGCAAUCUCAACCAUUGAAUUUCUUGAGGGAUUGAACCAGGAAGCUUAUUCUCAAAAAGAUACAAAGUGGUUAAGUUUCUCAAGUUUCCUAUGGAAGGAGGGAUUAGACUAGUGAGACUAUUUGUAGUCAACUAAAGAUCAUUAAGUGCUAUCAACAAUCCAAUUUCUUAAGGAAUAGAACCAUAUAGUUUGUUUAUAUGAAGAUACAAUUCCUCAAGUUUCGUAUAGAUGGAGGGAUCAAACCAGUGAGAUUGUUAGCUAAUAAAUCAAGAACAUUGAGAAAUCUCAACAAUCCAAUUUCUUAAGGGAUGGAACCAUAAAGCUCAUUCUUAAAAAGGUACAAAGUGGUUAAGUUCCUCAAGUUACCAAUGGAAGGAAGGAUUGGACCAAUGAGGUUGUUAGUCGAUAAUAGAAGAUUAUUAAGUGAUUUCAAUAAUCCAAUUUCUUGAGGGGUAGAACUAGAAAGCUCAUUCUAAAAAAGAUGUAAAGUGGUUAAGUUCCUCAAGUUUCCUAUAGAUGAAGGGAUCAAACCAAUGAGAUUGUUAGCUAAUAAAUCAAGAAAAUUAAGAUAUCUCAACAAUCCAAUUUCUUGAGGAAUAGAACCAGAAAACUCAUUCUUAAAAAGGUACAAAGUGGUUUUUGAAGGAAAGAUGAGUUUUCAGUUCUAUGCACCAAAGGAAAAGAAUGAAAUAGAAGAAGAAGAUGAAAUUUUUUUUCUCGAUUUCUGAAGGAAGAGAUAAGGAGUUGUUCUGUAAAUGAAGCAAAAGAGGAGAAGUUGUAAGUGUUGGAGGAAAAUAAAAGGAGGGGUAUUUUUGUCUUAAUCGAGUCAUUUUUUGUAUUUUUGAACGGUGGGUAUUUUUACAAAUAUGGGGGUUAUUUUGACCCCUUUAACCAAAUAACACAACAAAAAAUAGGAAAUCAUAUUUGACAACUAAAAACUAUUUUUUGUUUUCUGUUUAGAAAACAUAGUGUUUUUAGAUAACAUAUUUUAGUUGUUUUUAAUUAUUUUCACUUGUUUUUUAAAGGUUGUUUUAAAAAUAAUAAUUAUACAAACAUGUAGAAUGAUUAAAAAUAAAAUAUGAGAUAUAAAAAUUAUUUUUAAAACAUAUUUAAAAUUAUUAAAACCAUGUUAAAAACAAUUCAGGUUCUCAAACAAACUUUUGUUUUAUAAAACAUUAGAUAAUAGUUUUCAAAAAUUGCUCUAAAAAAAAUGUUUUUCAAACUAUUUUUAAAAAUAGUUGUCAUGUCAAAUAGGGCCUAAACUUCUUUCCUUAAGUACAUUUAUCUAUAUGAAAACUUCUUUAGAUAAGGUAAAAUCAAUUUAGGAGAAUCAAAUUUGUUUUAUAUCCAUAUGAAAAACAAAAUCAAUUUAUGAGAUUUAAAUAUGAGGUCCUUUUGUUUAAUUAAUCAACUGUUCUAAGUUGGGGAAUGGACUAUACAUGGAUCCAUGAAUUAAAUUAUUGUAGAAAAAGUCUCAAAAGAAAAUGUUACUUGGCUUACUAUUUAUAAAUUUGUUUUCAAUUAAUUCAUUUGUACUAAAUAAUUAAGUGUCCAUUUAGAUAUAAUUCUCAUUUUCUAUUUUUUUUUAAAAAUAGAAAUAACUUCUUAUAUAAAAUACAAAAAAUUCUUGAAGUCUUACACAAAAAAAUAGUGGUUUUUAUAAAUUGAGGCAUGAAAAAAAUUUACUAUUUCAAAUUUUAAAUUUUUUUAAAGUAUAAGUUAAGUUCAUACUUUUUGUAUUAGAGUUUCAACUUUUUAUAUAAGAAUUUCUAUUUUUAGAAACAAAAAAACAAAAAAUGUAUUCAAACAAAAUAUAAAUACUUAAAUAUAAAAUGUAUCAAGUACCGGAAUUUAACUUUAACUAAUAAUUAAAAAUGAUGAUAAUAACUUAUGAGCAAAAAACUAUACUUAGUAAAAAGAUUUAAAACUAAUUAAUUUCAAAUUAAUAAAUUGUGAAACAAAGAGCCUAGUAAUUCAUGGGCAAAUUUAACACAUAUUUACUACAAGGCCUAAGUUUGUUCACAUCUUAUUAAAUAAUAAAUUGCCAUCAACUCAAUAACUCCCAAAUAAUGAAACCAUUGAAAUCAUUCAUUUGACCAUGCUUAACCCAUUUUAAAGUUUUUGCCCAACUUGAAGUCAUCUUAAAAACCUUGUCCCAUAGUUUCAUGUGAAUGUUGACUUGGAUAGGUGUUGUCUACUUUUGAAUACCAACAACAACUUAAAUAAUUCCUCAUGCUUGAUCCAUUUUAAAGUCUUUGCUAACUUCAAAUUAUCUUAAAAGGUUUGUCUCAUAGCUUUACAUGCAUUUAUGACUUUGAUAGAAUGCAUGACUUUGAUGUGUGGUACCAAUUGAAAAUACCAAAAACCAUCGAAAUAAUUGCUCAUGCUUAACCCAUUUUAAAGUCUUUGCCCAAUUUGAAAUCAUCUUAAAAAAACUUGUCCCAUAGUUUUCACAUACAUUCAUGACUUUGAUAGGUAGUGUCAACUUUCAAAUAAAACAAAUGACCAAAAUAAUUGCUCUUGCUCCACCCAUUUUAAAGUCUUUCCCUAAUUUGAAAUCAUCUUUAAAAAACUUGUCUCAUAGUUUCACAUGUAUUUUUUACUUUGAUAGGCCAUGCCAACUUUGUGCUUAACCCAUUUUAGAGUCUUUGCCCAACUUGAAAUUAUCUUAAAAAACUCGUUCCAUAGUUCUCACAUGCAUUCAUAAAUUUCAUAGGUAGUGUCAACUUUUGAAACAGAAAAAUGAUUUGACCCAUUUUAAAGUCUUUGCCUAACUUGAAAUCAUCUUGAAAAACUUGUUCCAUAGUUUCACAUGCAUUCAUGACUUUGAUAGGUAGUGUCAACAUUGUGCUUAACCCAUUUUAAAGCCUUUGCCCAGCUUGAAUCAUCUUAAAAAACUCAUCUCAUAGCUUCCCAUGCAUUUAUAACUUUGAUAGGUAGUGUUAACUUCCUGCUUGACCCAUUUUAAAGUCGUUGCCAACUUCAAAUCAUCUUAAAAGACUUGUCUCACAGUUUUACAUGCAUUUAUGACUUUGAUAGAAUUUAUGACUUUGAUAUGUGGUACAAACUCAAAAUGCCAAAAUCUACUAAAAUAAUUGCUCGUACUUGACCCAUUUUAAAGUCUUUGCCCAACUUGAAAUCAUCCUAAAAAACUUGUCCCAUAGUUUUCACAUGCAUUCAUAACUUAGAUAGGUAUUGUCGACUUUCAAAUAACAAAAAUGAUGAAACUAAUUGUUCCUGCUUCACCCAUUCUAAAGUCUUUGCCUAACUUGAAAUCAUCUUUAAAAAACUUGUCUCAUAGUUUUACAUGUAUUUUUUACUUUGAUAGGCCAUGUCAACUUUGUUUUUUUUACCCAUUUUAAAGUUUUUUCCCAACUUGAAAUCAACUUUAAAAACUUGGUCCAUAGUUCUCUCAUGCACUCAUGAAUUUCAUAGGUAGUGUUGACUUCUAAAAUAGAAAAAUGACUUGACCCAUUUUAAAGUCUUUGCCUAACUUGAAAUCAUCUUAAAAAGCUUGGCCCAUAGUUUCACAUGCAUUCAUGACUUUGAUAGGUAGUGUUAACUUUGUGCUUGACCCAUUUUAAUGUCUUUGCCCAACUUGAAAUCAUCAUAAAAAACUUAUACCAUAGCUUCAUAUGCAUUCAUAACUUUGAUAGGUAGUGUUAACUUCCUGUUUGACCCAUUUUAAAGUCUUUUCCAACUUCAAAUCAUCUUAAAAGACGUGUCUCAUAGUUUUACAUGCAUUUAUGACUUUGAUAGAAUGCAUGACUUUGAUAUGUGGUACCAACUAAAAAUACCAAAAACCAUCGAAAUAAUUGUGCGUGAUUGACCCAUUUUAAAGUUUUGGCCAAUUUGAAAUAGUUUUCACAUACAUUCAUGACUUUGAUAGAUAGUGUCUGACUUUCAAAUAACAAGAGUGACCAAAAUAAUUGCUCUUGCUUCACCCAUUUUCAAGUCUUUGCUUAACUUGAAAUCAUUUUUAAAAAACUUGUCUCAUAGUUUCAUAUGUAUUUUUUACUUUGAUAAGCCAUGUCAACUUUGUGCUUAACCCAUUUUAGAGUCUUUGCCCAAUUUGAAAUCAUCUUAAAAAACUUGUUCUAUAGUUCUCACACGCAAUCAUGAAUUUCAUAGGUAGUGUCGACUUUUGAAAUAGAAAAGUGACCCAACCCAUUUUAAAGUCUUUUCCUAACUUGAAAUCAUAUUAAAAAACUUGUCCCAUAGUUUCACAUGCAUUCAUGACUUUGAUAGGUACUGUCAGCUUAGUGCUUAACCCAUUUUAAUGUCUUUUCCCUACUUGAAAUCAUCUUAAAAAAAUUAUCCUAUAGUUUCGCAUGCAUUCAUAACUUUGAUUGGUAGUGUUAACUUCCUGCUUGACCCAUUUUAAAGUCUUUGCCAACUCCAAAUCAUCUUAAAAGACUUGUUUCAUAGUUUUACAUGCAUUUAUGACUUUGAUAUGUGGUUCCGACUCAAAAUGCCAAAAACAAUUGAAAUAAUUGCUCAUACUUGACCCAUUUUAAAGUCUUUGCCCAACUUCAAAUCAUCUAAAAAAACUUGUCUCAUAGUUUUCACAUGCAUUCAUAACUUUGGUAGUGUCAGCUUCUAAAAAAAGAAAAAAAACCAAAAUAAUUGCUCUUGCUUGACCCAUUUUAAAGUCUUUGCCUAGCUUGAAAUCAUCUUAAAAACUCAUCCAAUAGUUUCACAUGUACUUAUGACUUUGAUAGGUAUUGUUUUUAAGUUUGUGCUUGACCCAUUUUAAAGUCUUUUCCUAACUUAAAAUCAUCUUAAAAAACUUGUCCCAUAGUUCUCACAUGUAUUUAUGAAUUUGAUUCACAUGUAUUUAUGAAUUUCAUAAGUAGUGCCGACUUUCGAAUAAGAAAAACAACCAAAAUAAUUGCUUGUGCUUGACCUAUUUUAAAGUCUUCACCUAACUUGAAAUCAUUUUUAAAAAACUUGUCCUAUUGUUUCACAUGCAUUCAUGACUUUGAUAGGUAGUGUCAAUUUCGUGCUUGACCCAUUUUAAAGUUUUUGCUCAACUUGAAAUCAUAUUAAAAAGAAAAAAAACUUGUCCCAUAGUUUUCACAUGCAUCAUGACUUUUUUAGGCAGUGUCGACUUCCAAAUAACAAAAAUGAACAAAAUAGUUGCUCGUGCUUGACCCAUUUUAAAGUCUUUGCCUAACUUGAAAUCAUCUUAACAAACAUAUCCCAUAGUUUCACAUGCAUUUAUGACUUCGAUAGGUAGUAUCAAGUUCUAAAUACCGAAAACAACCAAAAUAAUACUCAUGCUUGACUCAUUUUAAAGUCUUUGCCCAACUUGAAGUCAUCUUUGUUUGAUUGUGAUCUUUGUUUGAUUGUAAAGCCUUUAUCAGUCUUAUAGCACUAUGCAAAGGCUAUUGGGGGGUUGAGCUCAACUUGUUAACAUUUUCUUUUUAUUUCUUGAAGGAUGACUUUUCCCCUAUAGUUGUUAUAUUUAACUCUCUUAUAAUUUAGGAUUUCGUGUGAAAGUUUAGAAGAAAAGGAGAGUAUUCACUAUUGUAACCUUUGUACCUUCUUUUGAUUAGUGGAUUAUUGAGUGUUAGUACACUCUCUAUUAGUGCACUCUGUAGAAGUAGGGAUCAUAUUGAUCAUUGAACCAUACUAAAAUUUCAUUUAUUUUUCUUUAUUACUACUCAUGUGUGUGGUUGCAUUAAGAAUCUUAAAAAAAGCUUGACUCAUAGUUUCACAUGAAUUCAUGACUUUAAUAGGUAGUGUAAUGAUGUCACUUAUCUCCUUGAAUUUCUUUUUGGAAAACAUAUUCUAGAGGUGACAAGAAACUUAUCAAAUUUCAAUCUGACCUCACGUUUAGACAAGGCAAUCACCUAAAGCCCUCACUCCAUAAAAAGCUCCAAAUUUUUGUUAUUAUUACUUUAUUUAUUUUUCUGGUUUUUAUUAGCUAUUUUAAAUAAUUAUUCAUAGUUCUUUAUUUUAAUUAAAUGAUAAAAUAAAAAGAAAAGAAAAAUGAAAUAAAUGUCCAAACUUGUAUAAUUAUCUAGAUAUUUGUUUGCAUUGGGACAUUGGUUCAACUAAACAUUUAUAGUCAUUAGAAUUUAUCAUUUUAAUUGUAUUAUUCUAAAAAGAGAAUCUAUUGAUUUCAUUUUGAAAACCUACAAGUUUUAAUAAGCCCUUUUGUCUUUCUCAAUUCCAUAAAUUUUAUCUCAUGCUAUCUUUUUCACAUAGUAGCAAAAGAAUUUUAAUUGAAAUACACAAAAGAAAUAAACUAUAUGUCCUACAUACAAGUCUAAUAAGAAAAACCUUUAGAGUUGGAUGCCCACUAACUUCCUCUCUAAAGAUGAUUCUACCUUUCUAAUUGGCACACAAGAGUCUUCACUUAAAAAUAUUAAAAUAAAUUGGAUUAACAUAAGAUCUAGUGAAUAGUUGUAAUACACAAGAGUUAUGAUGAACAAAAUAGAUUUAGAACAUGUCAAAAGUCAUAAUAGGAUUUAAGGAAUAUAUGACAUUUAAAAAUAUGUAAUCAUGAUUUUAAACAUAUCUAUGGUCAAUCUACUAGUUAUACAUAAUUAAGCCUUUACUACUUGUGAUAGUACCUCAUCAACACCAUUUUUAGGGUCUCAUUAUCUUGGAUCACACUACCAAGGAACUCAUGUCCUAGCCAUCCAUCAAGGGCACAAUGGAGCAUAAUUUACCACUUCAAACUCUUCCAUAUAGCCCAGUAUCGAAACCCACAAUACCAGUGUAUGAUCCAUCCCAUCCCUUACUACAUAAGUGGUGUAAAGUUUCAUAUCAAAGAAAAAUGAAACACCUCAUUGAUAUAUGUGUUAUGUAUGAUACCUGUUAUAUAUAAAUCUCCAGAACUUUAACAAUUAAUUUAAAAUUUAACAAAGUAUGUAAUUGCAUUAUUGUACACAUAUGCAAGGUAUUAAAUGAUUACUUGAAAAAGAAGUGGUAUUUAUUUUUGCAAACUUAAUAUUAAUCAUAUGUGUUUUGACCAAAUAGAAAUUUCACAUGUCUCAUACUAAUAAUCAAAUUGAACAAGUAAUGUAUAAUGCAUAUAAGAGAGAUUUAUUUUAGGAAAAUUUACUAAAACCAUUUAUAUUUUAACUAUUCACAAAAAUCUUUGUAAUCAAAAUAACAACAGAAUUUGCAGUAUAAUGGCACCUGAAACUAUGGAUCCUCUCCUAAUUAACAAAUGAAUACUUUUAGAUUUGGAAAUUUCAUAAAAGAUGGCUAAGAUCCUAUACCCCUAAUUGUCUUCUUUCACAUGAAUGACACCUAAUAGUCUUCUGUCACCUAGACAACACCUUAGACUAAAAUUGAUGAACUUGAAAAUAAGAAUUUAGGAAAAUGGAGUCCAACUUGUGUAAAACUUGAACCAAUGAGUCUAUCAACGGUAUAUAUACUUUGAGAAUUGAUAACUAAGUCAACUUAGUCUCAGCCUCUAUUAGUUCCAAAUUUGCAUAAAUAGCACAUGCUAAAACACACUUAUUUUCUCGUUUUUUUACCAAAUAAUCCAAGUUCCAUAAAUUAUUAAACUAUCCAUGUUUACUCAAUGACAAGUCUAAAAAUUUAUAAAAAUAAUUUAGAAGUCUAAAACUAACUCAAAUAGUAAUACAAUCCAAAACCCAAAACUUUCUUAGCACAUAAUGUUGAAAAUCUACCAAACUUUACCAAAUCUUUUUCCAUACUAACAAAAUUUGAAUCAAGUUGAAUUGGAUUCUUUAGUUUCUUUUCAAAUAUACUAAAAUUAUUAAAAAUAACUAGAGGUAAAGAUUCUUAAUGAAAACAUUGCAAAAUUGAAACUAUGUUUGAAAACAUUAUUAAGUGAACCCACAAUCUAUUGAACUAACAUAUGGAAAACUUACCAAUUGGUCUUGUUUCAACUUCUUAUUACAAUUUCAAAAAAAAAGAAAAUAAAUAAAUAAAUCCCUAGAUGGGACUGAGGAACAAGCACUGUGGUUUUGUUGACCAUGAAUCAAGACUUCCAUAUAUGCUCACAUAAGCUCCAUUUUAAUCAAAGGUUGCUGCGAAAAUUAGUAACAGUUAGCAGGACCACUCAAGUGAAGCAUCGAUAACCAUAAUUUCUGGGGAUAUAAAGCUGUUCAACAAGAUUAAUGCAUUUGUGAGGCUCAGAAAAAUCAAAAAAAUCAGACGAGAAUCUUUUGGGCGUUACUACAUAAAAGAUGCAGGACCACACAUCCAGUUUUCUUAUCAACCAGUCAUCUUGACAACCCACUUUGAAGCCCACUUGGCCUUGCCAUCACCAUUGAUGAACCUACAUCAUUCAAAUUCUCAAUGCUCUUUAAAAUCAAUAUAUGCUUCAAGUCAAAAGGGAUUGGAAUUUUUGUUAGAUAACAGCCUUUGCUAUUCAGGAACAUAUUUUUCUUUUCUUUUUUUAUUUUUUAUUUUUUAUUUUAUUUUAUUUUAUAGAAUGUUUACCCUCCUUGAAUGUAAAAUCCUCUGUUCUCUGAUCAGAUUUCAGCUUUGUAAUUGGAAUCAAUAGAUCUUGUAUUCAAUUCAAUCCAAGUGUUUUUCUGGCCUCCUAAAUUCUAAACCCUAUCUGGGUUUUCCAUUUUUGUGAAACAUUAAAUCACCGAGUCCGGGAUCCAACACGAUGGGAUUGGAUUCAAUGUUAGAGACAAAAAUUAGUAAAAACAAAUCUUCAAAACCCUCAACAGUUGUGGCCAUAGCUCAAGACCAAGAUGGGAGUUAACAAUUUAAUAAUGCUGAUGAAUGCUUCAUUGACUGCUCUACCAUACUAGACUUUGACUGCUGUCGUUUGUUGAAAGACAUGAAGUUCCUCACAUUCUUGAGUACGAAGAAUCUUGGCCAAAAGUAAUCAACAAAGGAUGAGAAGGCCAGGAUCAUUUCACACUGAACUUUGCUCCGGCUACUUUGGUUAAACAAAUUCAUCCCAGAGAAACCUUGUGAAGAUAGCAGCCUUGUUUUAGCUCUUUGAAUAGAGUGAAAAACAGAACAGAAGUUGAUCAAACCUGGCAUGGGGGCCCCACAUUAAUAAAACCAACUUGUCCAAGCAUCUGGUGACGCAGAGUAUUUGGCAGCCUCAGAGGUAGAGACAGUCAUCGCAUCACAACCAAUUUAUGGGUCGAUUACAAAUUUAGAGACAGAAAAAUAUAUUUUCGUUUUAAUGAAAUCAUUCACCUCAGGAUCGAACUGCAAUUCUUAAUACACAUCAAUGAUUCUGGAUGAUUGAAUUUUAGUGCAUCCCCACCUGCAAAGUUACUGAUACACCUGAAACCUUCUUACUCUACCCAAUAUAAGCUUUUACAGAAAUAAUCAAUUUAUAAUAAAUUUACAUGGAGAAGUGAGGAUCCUCAGCUAGUUUCACCUCCAUGACCAUGACUCAUCAGCUCACCCAAAGUAAUCAUGGAAAACGGUUUUGACAAUGGUGGCCACUGUGCCAACUCAGCCUUGUAAACAGUACCAUAUCCUCCAGUGACAAUACACUGUUUUGAACUGAAAUUGUCAGUCCCCUGUAUGAUGUGUUCAUACAACAAUUCCCCAUCAAGGCCCCAUAUUGCAAAUAGAUCUUCAACAUCUUCUUCGGUCGACUUGAUGUUUCUCUUCCUCAAUUGUUUGAAAAGAAAACAAAUGCCAAUAAAAGCAAAUAAGAUCAACAGAGUUCAAGAUUAUGCAUCUUUCCAAUUUUGUCGGGAAUGCUAUCCGCAAAUCUAUUCUCGCUCAAGCUCAAGGAUGAUAAUUUCCAGAAUCUUCCCAGCUGUUUGGGAAUUGGAAUGCUUAAGUUGUUUGAUGCCAAGUCAAGGGUUUCAAGAUAGGAUAAGUUUCCCAAUUCCAAAGGAAUACUUCCUGAAAGAUCGACUGUUGUUGCCUAGCAACAAUUUGAACAAUAAGGGCAACAUACCCGAUUCUUUUCGGAUCUUCCCACUUAGAUGAUUGGUAGAGAGAUCAAGUUGUUGCAGUCGAAUUACUUUCCCAAGUUGAGGUGGUAUAGCACCAGAAAUAUUAUUGUUGGAGAUGUUCAGGCUUGUGAGCAUGUGGCACUGCCCCCAUUUCUCAGAAAGCUCACCAUAAAAAUUGUUACUGCUUAGAUCAAUAUAAUUUAGGUUCAGGUAUACACCAAAACUUUUAGCCAUGUCUCCGAUAAGUUGGUUUCUUUCAAGCUAAUCUCUGAAUAAGCUAUGCAGUUUUUCAAGCUCUUUGGAAUAGGACUGUUGAAAUGGUUUCCAAAGGCAGAAAAGUUUUCAAGAACACUACCAUGACAUAUCUCUUGUGGUAGUUAGCCAAUGAAGUUAUUCUCAACUGACUACAAAGAUUUCAAAUAAGUGAUACUAUUCAUUUCUUGAGGAAUGGCACCACUGAAUCUGUUGUAAUGAAGUACCAAAAAGGUUCAGCCGGACAAGUUUCCUAUGGAAGCUGGUAUUGAACCAUUGAGAUUGUUAAAUGAUAAGUGAAGAUCAUCAAGCAAUCUCAACCAUCCAAUUUCUUGAGUGAUGGAACCAAAAAGCUUGUUCUUAAAAAGAGGCAAAAUGGUUAAGUUCCUCAAGUUAUGCAUGGAAAGAGGGAUCAAGCCAAUGAGAUUCUUAGUUGACAAUGCAAGAAUAUUAAGAGAUUGCAACAAUUCAAUUUCUUAAGGGAUGGAACUAAAAAGAUCAUUCUCAAAAAGAUGCAAAGUGGCUAAGUUCCUCAAGUUUCCUAUAGGUGGGGGAUUGGACCAAUGAGAUUGUUAGCCGACAAAUUAAGAACAUUAAGAGAUCUUAACAAUCCAAUUUCUUGGGGGAUGGAACUAGAAAGCUCAUUCUAAAAAAGAUGCAAAGUAUCUAAGUUCCUCAAGUUUCCUAUAGGUGGAGGAAUCAAACCAAUGAGAUUGUUAGCUGACAAAUCAAGAACAUUAAAAGAUCUUAACAAUCCAAUUUCUUGAGAGAUGGUUCCAUAGAGGUAGUUGUUAUAAAGAUUAAGAGCACAGAGAUUGGGGAGUGUUGUGAACUUGACAUUGUGGAGUGUACCACUCAAACCACAAUUGUCAAGGUCUAAAUUGGAGAUACUUCCUGACUCGUGACAAAUCAUUUUGGACUAAUGAUGGCAAGAAUUGCAUCUAGACUAAGAAAAGAGGAAAGACUGGGUUUGAUCCUCAAGACUAGCCUUCCAUUUUAGAAAAGCAAGUGCUUCCUAAUUUUGUUCAAUAUUCAAAAGAGAAGUGGUAGGUGCAGAAGCAAAUGUAAAAAUGACAUGGAAUGAUGGUAUUGAAUACACAAUGAAAAUGAGAAAUAUGAUGAAGCAAGUAAUGAUGAUGAAUUGGCGGAGUGAGGAAUAGGAUGAAGAAUAUUCAAGGGCCAUUGUUGAAUCGGUAGAAAUGAAGUUAUUAGGGGGUUUAGUUGGAGUGAAUGAUGAAAAUGAAACACUUAUUUCUAGACUUAAAUGUGAUGCAUCCAACAUUUCCAUUAGUUGGUGUUGACAUCCAACUACCUUCUUAUCAUCUACAUUAAAUUGAAUUGGAAAGGAUUAUAUAUAUGAGCUAAAUUUCAAACAUAUUUUAUUUUAUUUUGUCAAAAUGAUCUUAGUUUUUUAAUUAAAAUUUACACUUGCAAUUACAUAUAAAAUAAUUAAAAAUAUUCAUUUUUCACUCUAUGUACUUUUUAAAUAUAACCUGUUUAAAAAUAACAAUUCUAGACCAAAUAUGCCCACCUCAACAACCUAGUUGAUACCGAAAUUUCACUUGAUCAACCAACAUUACUUGUACAUAUGCCUUUAUAUAAACCACCUAAUAUGUUUGUUUUUUUUGUCAAAAAUAAAUAUUGACUUCAAUGGGAGCAAUACAUAAAAAAUUUGCCAUGAAUAUUUUUUUUUUUUUUGGUAGGCUUACAUUCUGUAUAAGAUAAAUAUAUUUUUUAUUUUGUAUCAAGAAAUUGAAAAAAAAAUGAUUUAUUUGUUACUCAUCAAACAAUUGAGAUGGAAUCACAUCUCAUUAAUUCUUCAUGAAGAUUUGGCUUGUAAGAGUUUGAUAUUUAAUUAUAAAUAUGUAAUAUUUACUAAGUUGAUUACAUUUUUUCUUUGAUUUGGUUUAGGCUUAUAAAAUUAUUAGUUCUCAAAUAUCUUAUUUUAAUUAUAUUAUAUAAGAAUAUGUAUAAUUAUUAUUUUCACAAUAUUUUUAAAUUACAAAUUUUUAGAAUUUUUAGUAUGCUAACAAAUGUUAAUAGUUUGAAAUAUUUGAAAAUAUGUUCAUUACCAUUUUUUUUGGUCAAAUUAUUAGCCUUCAAAUAUUUUUAUCUUAAUUUUAUAAAAUAAAAUCAAAUAUAAUAAUUGUUUUAAUACAAACAAAGAUAUUUAAUUACUAAUUUUUAGUCUUAGCUUGUAAAAAGCUUAACACUUAAGAACAUUUAGGUAAAUAAAUACGUCAUUCAAAAUUACACAUCUAGCUAUUGCAUAAAUAAAGUGUUAACAUUCAUAUUAAAAAAAAAAUGUUACCUAAGAGUGUGUAAUAACUAUGAUAUUAUAGCAGAACACAAAAACAAAUUUCUACUCUAAGUAGAAUUUAUAUGAAAACUUCAUUUAUUUUUCAGAUUGUAUUCAAGUAAGGAUAUGUUGUGAAUUAAUUAACAACUAAAAAAAAUUGUAUGUAUUGUUUAUUAUUAUUAUUAUUAUUAAAAGAGAUUUCUUACUUCUCAAUUAAAAUUAGAGAUGUAGAUAUGAACAUAAAAUGCUCUUUUUAAUUGAAUGUGUUUUUAAUCAAAACUUUUGUUGUCUUCAAUAGAGCGGAAAAGUCAUUGCUUUACUAGUUUUUAUCAAUAAUUGUUUUCAAGGAAUCUAGACCCAAUAUUUAUAUUAUCAAUGGUAGGCAUUAGUGAUCCUAGUUGAUGUGAGUGGUCUAAUCAAAAUGAAGUAUAUAUGAGCUUCAUGUAUUAAAUCUUACUAUUAAAAUAAAAAGAAACUAUUGAAUCCAUUGUAUUAAGGUUAAGUAAUAGCUAUAAGAAUAGUGGAACCUAUAUUAAUUUUUCUCCUUUUAAAAAGUGAAAUUUGUAUUGGAACUUCAUCUAUGUUAAGGCAUAGCACAAAUGAAGGGACAUGCUUUCAUGUAGAAAUAAAAUAGAAUUUCAUUUUCUAAAUAGAGCUAUUUUACCAUUAUUGUAAAUAAUUUCUUUUACUUCUUCCUUCUCAUGAUUCAAGAUUCGAGAACUCAAAGAUAUUUGCUUCACAAUAUUUCCCAUCCAAACAUUCCAAAAAUUCUUCAUGAACAAUUGGCUUGUAAGAGAUUGAUAUAUAUAUAUAUAUAUAUAUAUAUAUAUAUAUAUAUAUAUAUACUUUUUCUUUAAUUUGGUUUAGGUUUCUAAAAUCAUUAUUUAUCAAAUAUCUCAUUUUAAUUAUAUCAAAUAAAAAUAUAUAAUUAUUAUUUCUUAAGAUAGUACUAUUAAAUUACUAUUCUUUCAAAAUUCUAUUAUGGUAACAAAUGUUAAAAAAAAAUAUUACUAUUUUUUUUCAAACUAUUAGUCUUGAAAUAUUUAAUUUGUUUUAAUUAUAUAAAAAGAACAAAUAUGAUAAUUAUUUUUGUAUAGACAAUGAUAUUUAAUUAGUAAUUUUUAGAUAUUCUUAACAUGUAAAAAGAAGAAGACUUAACAUUUAAGAAUAUUUUGAUACCACUUUAAACAAAUAUAUUAUUCAAAGUUAUACAUCUAGCUCUAUUAGAUUUAAGUUAAAUAAAGUUAUAGUCAAAAUUCAUGUUAAAAAACAAUUGUUACCUAAGAGUAAUUCCUAUGAAAUUGUAGCAGAACUCCAAAAAAAGGAAAAAAAAAAUCCUUUAAGUAGAAUUUAUAUGAAAACUUCAUUGAUUUAAGUGUGCAUUAAAAAAAUGAGUUGUGUUGAAUUAAUUAAUAAACUUAAAAAAUUAUUUGUUAUGUUUUAUUAGUAUUAAAAAAAGAUGUCUUACUUGUCAAUUAAAAUUACAUAUUUAGAUAUGUAUAUAGAAUUCUUUUUCCAAUUGUAAGUUCUUAGUCAAGAGUUUUGUUGUCUUUGACAGAGUGGAAAAUUUGUUGCAUUCCUAAUUCAUAUCAACAAUUGUGUGGAAAAAUCGUUGCAUUCUUAAUUCUUAUCUACAGUUAUUAGUCAAGACUUUUAUUGUCUUUAAUAGGGUGGAAAAGUUGUUGCAUUUGUAAUUCAUAUCAACAACUGUGUGGAAAAGUCACUUUAUUCUUAAUUCUUGUCAACAGUUGUGUGGAAAAGUUGUUGUAUUACUAAUUCUUAUCAAUAAUUGUGUGGAAAAAUUGUUACAUUAAUAAUUCUUAUCUACAAUUCUAAGUUCUUAGUAAAGACUUUUGUUGUCUUUGAUAGGGUGGAAAAGUUGUUGCAUUACUAAUUCAUAUCAAAAAUCGUGUGGAAAAGUCGUUGCAUUCUUAAUUCUUGUCAACAGUUGUAUGGAAAAGUUGUUGCAUUACUAAUUCUUAUCGAUAAUUGCAUGGAAAAAUUGUUGCAUUACUAAUUCUUAUCAACAAUUGUUUUCAGAAUUUAUACCCAAUAUUCACAUUAUCAAUAGUAGAAGUCAAUGAUUCUAAUUGAUGUGAGUAGUCUAAUCAAAGUGAAGUAUAUACGAACUUCAUUUAUUAAAUCUUAGUAUUAACAUAAAAAGUAACAAUGGAAUCCAUUGCAUCAAGGCUUGAGGAAUAACAAUAAUAAUAUUGGGGAUCUAAAGUAAUUUUCUUUACAAGAGUCAAAGAACUCGGAGAGACUUGCUUUACAAUGUUAAACAAAGGUGCAUUUAUUUAAAAGUGGCUUGUGCUUUUUACACUAAGUAUUAAGAUAAAGGACAUGUUCAAAAUGUAAAUUAUGUUAUUUCAUUCUCUUUUUUUUUUCAAGUAAUAUUGCAUUAUUUUAAUUUAAUUUUCAAGUUAAUUAAGUAGAAAAAUUAGAUCAUGAGUUGGACAUAAUGACAAUAAUUUUUUCCUAUUCAUAGAUUUAACAAUAAAAAAAGGGGUUUUAUUUUUUUCAAAUACAUCUAUAAGAGAAUUUAUACUAUGUUUUUCUUAUAGAUAUGAAGGAAAUGAAAACAAAAAAUAAAAUAAAAUUCCAUCAUUGAAUGUACUACCCAAUUCAAUUUAGAAAAUUUAUUUUUGAAUAUUUGUCGUUUAGUUUACAAAUCUUAAAGAAAUAAAUAAAAGAUGGCUAAACAUUCAAGGCAAGAAAAAUUGAUCCAUUCAAUUACCCAUGGAAAUGAUAAUUGGCCAUGUUUAAUGGGUUUUGAAGUCUUAGUGAAACUUGAUGUAAUACUUCAACUACCAAAGAUAAUAAAUAAAUUUAUAAUAUUGACUAAGAGCUUAUUUGGAAAGUAUGGCUGAAAAUGAUUUUAAAUUCUUAUAGAGUAUGCCUUAUUAAAAAUUAAUAAUUUGAAAAAAGUAUUAAAGUUAGAAAAUGAUUCAUAAUGUUUCUUAAAUAAACACUUGAUAAAUAUUUUUUUUAAAUAUUUAAAAAAUUAUGAAAAAAUUAGAAUUUCCAAUAAAUGUUUAUGUUAAGAAGGUACAUUUUUCUAGAAUUUUUAUUAAAAACACUUUCAAACAUACCUAUAUCCCUUUUUGUUUGGAGUAUAACCUAUGAAAACACAUUUUUCAACUCUAGGAUCAAGUUAGAUCAAAAUUUGUUGGGUAUGUGAACAAAUACCAUGCAACCCAAAACUUGUAAAGAGAAAUUAGAUUAUAUUCUAGAUUCUAGAAAUUUUUGGGGUGCUCCAAAGGUGUGAUAUAUUUUAAAACUUAGGUAGGCAUCCUAUUAAUUAAAUAGGAUAUUGUUCAAACAACUUCUCCCGAUAAAUAGUUUGGAACAUGCAUAAAAAAACAUUAUGGCAUGGACCACUUCAAGUAAAUGUUUUUUUUUUCUCUAAACAACUCCAUUUUGUUAAAGAAUAUCAUGACAUGUAGAUUGAUGUUGGAUAUUUUUUUCUUUUUAAAAAAUUUUCAAGCAUUUAUUAAAAUUUUCAUUCUAUUAUUAAAGUCAAGUAGACUGAUUUUUAUUUGAAAGUGAUUUUUAAUUUAUUGUAAAAAUCUUUGAACAACUUUUCCACUUCAAAUAUUUAAUAGGUGUGAUCAUUUAUAAAAGUCACAAACCCGUUUUUUCCUAGAUAAAAUGGUAACCUUUAAAGGACUCCAAACAUCACUAUGAAUCAAAUCAAAUAAUUUCGAAGCAUCAUAAGGUUUCGAGAUAUAAGUAGCACGAUGAAUUUUGAUAAACGACAACUCUCACAUUCUAAUAUAAUAAUGUUUAUAAAUACAUAUAUACAACAUUGUACGAUUUAUUUUUCUGUUUUCAUUUUUUUUCACCACACGAGACUAGAAACCAAGGGAGAAUAAGUCGGUGUCACAAGCGAUGUGGCCGUUACAAGAGAAGAAAUCGUUCCCCGGGAAAAGAGCAGGGCGGUUGGUUUGUACCUACCUCCCGGGAAGUAAAACGCGUCGUUUUGGGCUUGGGCUUUUAAAGUAAAGGGCUAAAACCACUGUUAGAAACUGGACCUGGCCCAGUUUGAGUAAGCAGAGGCAUCUUACUCUUUUCUUUUGCUACAUAAAUAAUUACUUCCAUGCUAAUCCAUUUUAAAAUUGCUUUGAUUCAAAACAAAAAUAAUUUUAAUAUUUAAAAAAUAUUUUAAUUAAAUAAAAAUAUUUGCAUGGACAAAGUAUUGGUCUCUUUAUUCAUUUAUUUUUUCAAUAUCUUAAAUACCUAAAUAUUUUAAAAUAUUAAUUUUUACCGUUAAUUUUUACAUUUGAAAUAUAUACUCCCAAAAACAAUAAUACUUUUUUUUUUGGGUAAUAAAAUUGGAUUCCUGUUUUUUAUUUUGCAAAGUUAUUUUCCUUUAUUGUUUUUUUCCUUUUUUUAAAGUUUAUGAUUUUUGUUAUAAAAAUUAUUACUAAUAAAAAUUCAUCUAGUAUAUGAUGUUAAUUCAUUGAGAUGACGUAUUAACAUAGACGGUAGUAUGGUAGGAUAAAAUAAAGUUUUUAACGUUAUUAGAUUUAUUGCAAAAGGUAAGCACAACAUUUAUAUAUUGAACUUAAAACAUAAAUACGCUAAAAGUAUAAUGCACUAUGACAAGCCUUAAUUUUACUUUUUAAAAAUUAUAAAACAAAUAUUUUAUUGUACUAUUUUCUUAAUAGUUAUAUUACAAAAUUAAAUAUUUUAAAAUUUAUGAAAUCUAUAUAAUAAAAAUUAUAAUAGCUUUAUAUUUUUAAUUAUCAAAAUGAAACAAUAAUUUGUAAAUUUAAUAUAUUAUAUAUUAUAUUAUUAUUAUUAUUACUAUUAUUUUGGAUAAGUUAUUGAUAAUUUUUUAAAAUAAUAAUUAAUAAAAUUGUAAUUUAUAAUAAAUUUUUAUAUUAUAUAUAUGGAUUAGUAUUAAUAUUAUUCUUUUUAGAUAGGUUAUUAAUAAUAAUAAUAAUAAUAAUAAUAAUUAAAAAAGAAAAAGAGAAAAUAGAGAAAAGACAAGGGAGGGAUACGUUUGAUUUUAAAGUGAAAAGUAUGAGGGUAUACUUAACUUUUUGUAUUUUGUGUCACGUGGAAGACUUAUUAAAGUUGGUGACCCAUUUGGGACAUUAUCACCCAUAACUCAUCCUAUAUGGAAAUUUUCCUUAAAAUGUUUUACUAAUGGGCAGAAAAUCCCUCCUCAAAGCACAUGAGGAUAUUUAUGAACUAUUUGAAUGGAAAUUGGAGUUAAAAUCAACUAUAAGAGUGACUUAGUUUAGUGGAAUAUAUAGUUAGAAGAUAAAUCUCACUCAACUAUCUCUUUACCUAUAAGACAAAACUCAUUGCCUUGUAUAGUGGGAUAAAAAAGCAAAUAAAUGGGUUCUUUUUAGUAAAAAAUGUGUUCCAUGAUCAUAUCACAAAUUUAAGUUAAAUAAAAACUAAAAAUUUCUAAAUAAAUUUUUUAUUAAAAUGAUUUCUCAAUGGUGAAGUAAAUUAAUCUUACAUAUUUUUGUACCCCAAUUUUUUUAUUUAUUUUUUAUUUUUAUUAAAAUAGGUGGAGGUGUUUAACAAUUCUCCUUUUCAAAUCCUAGUCCUAAACCUAAUUCUAAUCAUUAUUAUUUCUCGUUUCUUUUCUUUCCUUUCCUUCAAUUCUAUUAUAUUUAAGUACUUAAAUUAAAUCAUUAACUCAAUUUAUCAAAUUCAUCAUAAGGAUCAUGUAAAAAUCUUUUAAACCACUUAGUGGAUCCACUCGUCCAUUAUUCAUGAUUGAUUGAUCAAUGUAAAGAUUACAAUACCAUUUAUAUGUAAUUUAGAGACUCUCCCCCUAGAUUUAUACAUAUGAAUUGCUAUUAGAAAAAGAAAAAAAAAAUUCAGCUCAGAAACUGGGACAAGGGGUAAUAGAAACUCAUCAAUGCUUAUAGCUAGUGCAUAAUUAGAAUGAAGAGGACACUAUUAAAUAGAGCAGGUUGUCCUUUUUGUUCAAUUAAUCGAUUAUUCUAGUUGGGAAAUAUACCAAACAUGGGUUCUUGAAUUAAAUUAUUGUACAAAAUGUCUCAAAAGAAAAUGUUACUUGACUUGUUUUAUAUACAUUUGUUUGCAAUUGAUUAAUUUGUACUAAUAAUUAAGUGUUAUUUCUUUAGAGCUCUUGUUUAUUUUUUAAAAAAUAAAAAAUAGUAGCAAUUUCUACAUAAAAUAAGAGAAAUAUUAAUAUAGUGUUUUUUUAAAAUUGAUUAAAUAAAUUAAAAUAUUAAAAAAUUAUUAUAUCAAAUUUUAAAAUUUUUGAAAAAGAUUUUUUAAGAAUAUAUAGUAAGUUUAUACCUUUUAUAUAAAAAUUUCUAUUUUUUACCAAAAAAAAAAGUUAUAUUUAAAAAAAAUAGGAAAUGUAUAGAAAUGAAACAUAAAUGCUUAAAUAAGAUUUAUCGAAUAAUGACAUUUUACUUAAACCAAUAAAAAAACAAUUCAAAUAUUAGUUGUCUAUUGAAACAAUUGUUUUCAUCAAACCCUUCACAACCCAAUUAGUAUAUGAAAUGGAAUAGGCACAUAUAACAAGAAUCUUCUCAAGAAAUUCAAUCUUUGUUAGAUUUAGAAACAAUAUCGCAAAUCCACUAAAAUGUUCCAUCAUGUAUCAUAGAACAAAUUUAAAAAAUAAAUAUAUUAAUAAUCCAUGAAAAAUCCACAUACAUGCUCAUAUGCACCUCGAAAAUGGAUAAAUUUAAUUCCCAAAAUAGGGAAAAUUAGGAUUAUGUGUAAAAGAUAAAAAAAAAUAUUUUUAAAAAUAUGACUAACUUUUCAUAUUUUUAAUCUAAAAGGAUAAAAACAUAUUUUAUUUCAUAUGAAGAAACUCUUCACUCAAAAUUACACUUACCAUUUUCACUACCUCUGACUCGACCUCUUCACCUUCCACCGUCUCUGUGGUAAAUUACAGGUGUAUGACAUUUGCUGUUGAAAAUGCUUUUAUCGCUACUUGUAAACAAAACCAUCAAUGUCUUAAGCUUAAGUUGAAUUUGCUCUUUCUCAUGCAAGGUGUUUUGCUGUUAGUUACCAUAUCAAGUUACAUAUGAUGUAUAGAGGUCGUUUAGAGAUAAGCAAGGCACUAAGAAAAAUGUACCUGGAGCGGUAUAACCAAAGGUUCCUGCAAAUGAAGUCCAAUUAGAUGAGUCUGACUUUAAAAGCCUAGCCUUGCUGAAGUCAGAUACAUGAGCUUCAUAUUCUAAAUCUAACAAAACAUUGUUGCUCGAUAUUCAUCUGCUCUUUGGAUCAUGUUCUCCUUGAGUUACUUGUUUCUUCUUAACAAAAAAAUAUGGUUUGUCACCCAUUUCAGAAGGGAAUAAAUAAGAAAAACUAAUAGCUCAUGCUAAUAAGCAUCCAAAAAAAGAAGUGAUUUCAACAGUUUGGGAAUUAUCACUCUCUCAAAAGCCUAUGAAAAAAAUGUAAAGAUACAUGUUAGGGUCCUAAAAAAGGUGCAGACACAUGAACGAAAAACCUAAUUGCAUCCAAAAAAAAGGAGUCGCAUCUGCCUUCUUGGAUCUCCCCAGCCCCAAGCACACGUCCAAAACGGUGACUGUCACAAGAAUGAAGGUUACAAGAAAUCCAUAGCCUGUCUUCCACCCCAAGCCUGCUUCUGCCAUGCAAAGUCCAAUCACAAAAUUCAGAGCUUCCAAGAAGAGAGCAAGUGUCCCUACCAAAUGAUGUUACCAGUUCCAGUAAUUGCGCUGUUCGGCUGUCUUGUCCGGCCUUAGAAUCAAUGCCAUUACCUGAGAAGAAGAAAACUUAGUUUUCAGCAUGCUUGAAGAAAUAUAUUUAGUUAAUGUCGAGUGAAGGCCCAGGCAGAGUGAAAACAAACCUGAAGAAUGCUAAGGAAAAACACCAAGGAUCCGAUGGGUCUGUGAAUCUUGGAUUUGGAAAUGCGAUGAGACUCCAGUCCAUUGUAGAGUGUCCUUCCUGCAACGACAGUAGCAAGACCCGGAAGAAAACCCACAAUCUGGAUCGAGAUAUGAAGAUAAAACCAUUGAGGAUCAUGAUGCUUGAAGUAUCUUGGGAUGAUUGCCCCAAAUGGAAGGAGCAUGCCCCAUGCAAUUAGGCCAAUGGCUCCAUGACGCGUUGUCAAACCUCUAGUGUUAUCGACACCAGAGGUAUAACCUGUGAGACACAGAACAGAAAGUUUGCAUAUCAGGCUUAAAAGAUUUUUAUUUGAAGCUCCCACUUUAUUUUCCUACAUAUAACUAUAUAAGCCCCCACGUCUAGAAUGUAAAAUCCUCUGUUCUCUGUUCAAAUUUCAGCUUUGCAAAUCUUGUAUUCAAUUCAAUCCUCGUCUUUUUAUGGCCUCAUAAAUUCUAAACCUUGUCUGGGUUUUCCAGUUUUGUGAAAAAUUACAUCGGGGAGCCAGCAGGAUGGGAUUAGACUCGAUGUUAGAGACAAAACUUUGGAAAAAUCUGCAAAACCCUCAACAGUUGUGGCCAUAUCUCAAGACCAAGAUGAGAAUUUACAAUAUAAUCGUGAUGAAUACUUCAUAGACUGCUCUACAAAACUAGAGUUCGUCCGAAUGCCUAUCCUUUCUUGAAAAGACAUGAAGGUCCUCACAUUCUCGAGCAGGAAGACCCUUGGCCGAAAGUAAUCAGCAAAGGAUAAAAACACCAGGAUCAUUUCACACUGAACACUUUAGUACUCCAGCUACUCUGGUUAAACGGAUUCAUCCCAGAGAAACCCUGUGAAGAUAGCAGCCUUGUUUUAGCUCUUAGAAUAGAGCAAAAAACAGAGCAUAAGCUGAUCAAACCUGGCAUGGAGUCCCCCCAAUUAAUAAAAUCAACUUGUCCAAGCAUCCAGUGACGUGGAUUAUUUGGCAGCCUCAGAAGUAGAGACACAGUCAUCGGCAUCCCCACACUUCUCCACGACAACCCUGCAUCACAACCAAUUUAUGGGUCAAUUACAAAUUGAGAGAGAGAAAAAGAGAUUUUCAUCUUAAUGAAAUCAUUCACCUCAGGCAUUGCAAUAGUUAAUAAACAUCAGUGAUUCUGGAUGAUAACAAAUAUCAUGGAGAAGUGGGGACCCUCAACUAGUUUCGCCUCCAAGACCAUGGCCAAGCAAUUCACCCAAGACAAUCAUGGAAAACGGUCUUGACAAUGGUGGCCAUUGUGUCGAAAGUGUUCAAGCAAUUUGUUGCAUAGUUGGCCGAGAUUGGGGUUUAACAUGCAAACAUGCAAACGUUAACUUCACUGCAAGUGCUACUUCCUCAGCCACUUGAUUCACAGGAGGUGAUGGGUGUUGGUCCAUCACAUCAUUCAGCAGUAUGUAGUCUACGGUUGAUAUUGAUGAGGAUGAGGAAGCUGAUGAUGACAACCAUGAGAUGAGUUCACCAGGAUGUCUUCCCAUAAUUACUUCCAAUGUUACCACUCCAAAGCUAUAGACAUCAGUUUUAUUAUCCACCUUCAUCGUGUAAGCAAGUUCUGUAAAGAAGAUUUGAUCAUGCUUUGUUCCGCUAAGCAAUUAUAACAGUUUUAUAUAUGAUGUAUAGAGGAAGUUUAGAGGUAAGCAAAGGCACUAAGCAAAUUGUACCUGGAGCAGUAUAACCAAAAGUUCCUGCAAAUGAAUUCCAAUUAGAUGAGUCCAACUUCAAAAGCCUAGCCGUGCCCAAGUCAGAUACAUGAGCUUCAUAUUCUGAAUCUAACAAAACAUUGUUGCUCGAUAUGUCUCAAUGAAUUAUAGGAGGUGAGCAAUCAUGGUGCAUAUAGGAUAAAGCUUUAGCCACACCUUUAACAACAUUCAGCCUCACAAUCCAAUCUAAUUUUUCUGCUUCUUGGUCGUUGCUUAGAAUGUUUCUCAAGCUCCCUUUUUCCAUAAACUCAUAAACCAAAAACGAGUUCUCUGCAAAUGAACUGAAGCCAUAAAGCUUGAUGAUAUUGUGAUGCCUUAUUUGUGUUAAAGCAUGAAUCUCGCUUUUGAAAGCUUUCAAAUGAGCCAUAUCUCCAUCUUCUGAUGAGUGAAGUUUUUUCACAGCAACAACAACCCGACCUGUUGGCAACUCAGCCUUGUAAACAGUACCAUAUCCUCCAGUGCCAAUACACCGUCUCGAACUGAAAUUGUCAGUCCCCUGUAUGAUGUGCUCAUACAACAAUUACCCAUCAUGGCCCCAUAUUGCACAUAAAUCUUCAACAUUUGCUUCUGGAAACUUGGUUUUUCUCUUCCUCAAUUUUUGGAAAAGAAAAUAAAUGCCAAUAAUAAAAGCAAAUAAGAACAAUAGAGUGCUCACAAGGAGGAGUAUUAUGAUCAAAACAGAAAACUUGUUGGCCUUCUUUCGACUAGCAAUGCAUAGCUUGAGAUGAGUGACAUUAUUACCACACAGACUCUUAUUAUUUUUGAAUGCCUCAAAUGGAGCGAAGGCUUUGACGUUGGGGAGAGGACCUUUCAACUGAUUGUAGGAUAUAUCAACAACUGUCAGGCUUAUCAGAUGGUCAAACGUGUGUGGGAUGGUGCCAGAGAGCCUGUUAUGGAAGAGAUUCAACGUUUCCAGGUACUGUAAUUCUCCAAGCAGCGGUGGUAUCUCUCCAGUCAACAUAUUUUGACUAAGAUCAAGACUCUCAAGAUGAUGCAUCUUUCCAAUUUCGUUGGGAAUGCUAUUCACAAAUCUAUUCUUGCUCAAGUUCAAGGACAAUAAUUUC
Molecule: long non-coding RNA, 34602 nt
Filed under: Vitis vinifera (wine grape)
Lineage: Eukaryota; Viridiplantae; Streptophyta; Magnoliopsida; Vitales; Vitaceae
Description: long non-coding RNA (VVIN_LNC003930)
Source: RNAcentral